GUGCUGGCUUGGAUAGCACAUACACUAAAACUGGACCGAUACAGAGAUUAGAGCAGCCCCUGUACACGGAUGACAUGCAAAUUUGGGAAGCGUUCCAUAUUUAA
Molecule: small nuclear RNA, 104 nt
Organism: Neomonachus schauinslandi (Hawaiian monk seal)
Lineage: Eukaryota; Metazoa; Chordata; Mammalia; Carnivora; Phocidae
Source: RefSeq, a predicted model, not a curated record